GAUGAACGCUGGCGGCGUGCCUAAUACAUGCAAGUCGAGCGAACAGACGAGGAGCUUGAGCCUCUGACGUUAGCGGCGGACGGGUGAGUAACACGUGGAUAACCUACCUAUAAGACUGGGAUAACUUCGGGAAACCGGAGCUAAUACCGGAUAAUAUAUUGAACCGCAUGGUUCAAUAGUGAAAGACGGUUUUGCUGUCACUUAUAGAUGGAUCCGCGCCGCAUUAGCUAGUUGGUAAGGUAACGGCUUACCAAGGCAACGAUGCGUAGCCGACCUGAGAGGGUGAUCGGCCACACUGGAACUGAGACACGGUCCAGACUCCUACGGGAGGCAGCAGUAGGGAAUCUUCCGCAAUGGGCGAAAGCCUGACGGAGCCACGCCGCGUGAGUGAUGAAGGUCCUCGGCUCGUAAAACCCUGUUAUCAGGGAAUACCAUAUGCGUAAUGAACUACGCACUUCGGCACGGUACCUACGCAGAAACCUCCGGCUAACCACGUG
Molecule: ribosomal RNA, 497 nt
Filed under: uncultured bacterium
Lineage: Bacteria
Description: partial 16S ribosomal RNA
Rfam family: Bacterial small subunit ribosomal RNA
Source: RNAcentral